GAUGAACGCUGGCGGCGUGCCUAAUACAUGCAAGUCGUACGGAAAGGCCCUUCGGGGUACUCGAGUGGCGGACGGCUGAGUAACGCGUGGGAACGUGCCCCAAAGUGAGGGAUAACGCACCGAAAGGUGUGCUAAUACCGCAUAUGGUCUUCGGAUUAAAGCUUCGGCGCUUUGGGAGCGGCCCGCGUACGACUAGAUAGUUGGUGAGGUAAUGGCUCACCAAGUCGACGAUCGUUAGCUGGUCUGAGAGGAUGAUCAGCCAGACUGGGACUGAGACACGGCCCAGACUCCUACGGGAGGCAGCAGGAAGGAAUCUUCCACAAUGGGGGCAACCCUGAUGGAGCAACGCCGCGUGCAGGAUGAAGGUUUUCGGAUCGUAAACUGCUUUUAUAAGUGAAGAAUAUGACGGUAACUUAUGAACAAGGAUCGGCUAACUACGUGCCAGCCGCCGCGGUAA
RNAcentral lists this ribosomal RNA (457 nucleotides) under uncultured bacterium. RNAcentral describes it as "partial 16S ribosomal RNA". It matches the Rfam family "Bacterial small subunit ribosomal RNA", at positions 28 to 523 of the family's 1533-position model. The record is from RNAcentral.